GUAGUUCCUUCCUGGUUCUGUGACCGGGGAGAAAAAUCUGACAAUCUGAUGAAUUUAAAAAUAAUAAAUUCAGAGGUUAGAAUUUAUUAUUUUUAAAUUCAUCAGAUUAUCAGAGAUUGGGAGAUUGGUGGGAAAUAAGAGUACAAAAACUCCUGCCGUGUGAUUAUAGAAAAAGGCUAAACAGCUGCGCUUUAGUAAUAUUUAACUUUCAGAUUAGAUCGUGACGAAUGAAAUCCAAGGAAGACUUUGGUCACAGCCUACUGUAAGCUAGACCAGACAAGUCAAUUGCCUUCCAUUCCAGUCGUUAUGGCAACCAGCGUCCUUGGUUACCGCUUCCCCAGGAAAUCACAGAAGUCAGGGUUUCCUCAGCUAUUUACAAUGAAAGAACCCCCUGGUUCUGUGUUCUGCCGGGACUGGAGCAUCCAGCACUGCCCGAAGGCCCGAAAAUAAAAAGCCAGAGUAGUGAGAGUCUCCUCCUUGUCGUGUUACAGUCUGCAGCGAAUCUCAGAACUGGAGGGAAUCCUCAGGCGUCUACUCAAUUCACAACUCAAGGAGUGGAAAAGGCAGUGGUUUAGAAGUCAAGACGGAGAACUCUAUCCUGAACUUGCCUGUGAUGCCGGGGCUGUUACUGUUGCUGCUGAUGAUUUUGGUGCUACUACUAGUGUUGCUGCUUUCUGAAGGGGAAAGAGAAGACCCACCAGAACAAGAAUAUUAAGAUGAAUUCCGACUGUCGACGGGAAUUGACCCCGGAACCUGGAUCCGGAAGAUACUGUGGUGUAGAAAAGGCGUAACAUGAAUCUUGAUCAAAAGGAGGGUCACCUACACUUUACUUUACAAAGCAGGAGCCACUAAAAUCCAGAGCAUGGGAACAGAAGUCCAAGUGAGAAACGUUCAAGUGGAACUUUUUACUCCUACAUCCUAAAUUCAGACUCUUCUCUCCAUUUCAGGUGCUUGGUAUUGGGAAAAAACACCAUGGCCCUUAUUAAGCACCAGAGAUGCAAGUUUUAUUUUACAGCCUAAUCAUUGGUUCAGCUCUUAGGAAGCACCUGAAAAUCAGUAUGUUCGGACCCAUUCUCCAUCCCUUCACACCUAUGCUUUCUGUUUUGGCAGGAACAGUUCCUUGAAGUGUAAGGGGGAUGUGGAAAAUUAGAGCGACAGGGUUUUAAUGAGGAAAGAAAAUGUUUUAAGUUGCCAUCUCAAUAUCCCUAGUGUUAUCGUAGAACACAUUAGGAGAUACUUCUCUCAAAAGUUACUUCUAAACAGAAAAGGUUUCCAAAUCUAAGCUCCUGUGAAAUCCUAACAUGAAAACUUUGGCAUGAAACUAGAGGAGAAGGCAGAUGUUACUUCAAAAUCUAAUUCAAAUCCCUCUUGAGGUCUCCCCUCACUUAAGUCAGCAAAUCUUCCCUCCAACUACUUAACCAAUGGAAUGAGCAAGACAUUGUCUGUAUGAAUGGAUUAUGUCUCAGGAAUCGCCUCCCUGACUGAUCUAGGCAAAGUUGUCAGUGAUGCACAUGAAAUCGCCAUUGACCAAAAAGUUAUAAUCUUACUUAA
Molecule: non-coding RNA, 1551 nt
Organism: Phascolarctos cinereus (koala)
Lineage: Eukaryota; Metazoa; Chordata; Mammalia; Diprotodontia; Phascolarctidae
Source: RefSeq, a predicted model, not a curated record